This 468-nucleotide ribosomal RNA is filed under the name uncultured bacterium. Its description in RNAcentral is "partial 16S ribosomal RNA". It matches the Rfam family "Bacterial small subunit ribosomal RNA", at positions 28 to 507 of the family's 1533-position model. The record is from RNAcentral.
GACGAACGCUGGCGGCGUGCUUAACACAUGCAAGUCGAACGGUGAAGCUCCAGCUUGCUGGAGUGGAUCAGUGGCGAACGGGUGAGUAACACGUAAGCAACCUGCCCCUGACUCUGGAAUAAGCGCUGGAAACGGCGUCUAAUACUGGAUACGAGAAGGGCCCGCAUGGGCACUUUCUGGAAAGUUUUUCGGUUGGGGAUGGGCUCGCGGCCUAUCAGCUUGUUGGUGAGGUAAUGGCUCACCAAGGCGACGACGGGUAGCCGGCCUGGGAGGGCGACCGGCCACACUGGGACUGAGACACGGCCAAGACUCCUACGGGAGGCAGCGGUGGGAAAUAUUCCACAAUGGGCGAAAGCCGGAUGCAGCGACGCCGCGUGGGGGAUGACGGCCUUCGGGUUGUAACCCUCUUUCAGCAGGGAAGAAGCGAAAGUGACGGUACCUGCAGAAGAAGCACCGGCUAACUACGUG